ACAUUCAGCAGUCUGUGUGUUCUAUGCAAGCCCACCACACCAGCCCAUUCUGGGAUAUCCAGAAAUACAUAUCAACACAUGGCAAUACCAUUUUUGCAGUGCUUUAAAGUUGUAUUUAUUUAUUUUUAAUUAGUACAGACAAUAACAGGUUUUUCUUGUACCAUAUUCAUGUGUUCUGUAUCUUGGCCAACCCUCCUCUGUUCCUCUUCCACUUGCCAUUCCCCUGUCUGCACCCACCUCACCCCCAGUAUUCCCAUUCCCACUUUCCUGGCACUCAUGUCCUAUCGCUCUCCCUUACAACCACUCACCUCUUUUUCAGGCCUCUUUCUAGCUUUAUAAUCUGUACCCACUCGUUCUCAUUAAUGCAUAGAUGUAAAAAUUAGAGGUUAGAUCUGCAUAGCAACAAGAAUAUAUUUGUUUUCCUGAGUGACCUCACUCAUUUCUUUCAAUUCCAACCAUUUGCCUACAGAUUUUUUUCUUUCUUUUCUUUCUUUUUUUUUUUUUUACAGCUAGUAAAAUUCUGUUAUGUACCUCUUUAUAUAUCCUACAUAUUCACCAUCUAUUCAUUUGUUGAUAGAUGUCUAGGAUAAUUCUUUUUCUGUUUUGAAUAUAGCAGCAAUGACUAUGAAUAUAUGCAUAUCUGUCAUAGAUAUAGAAUCCUUUGUGUAUACGCCAGGAGAAGUAUAGUUGGGAUAUAUGGUGGUUCUGCUUUAUUUCUUUGAGGAUCCUCUACACUCAGUUACACCAUGGUUUCAUCAGUUAUCAUCCCAUCAACAGUGAGUAAGGCUUACUCAUUUUUCAUUAUUCUUAUCUGUGUUUUUUGUUUCCCUAAUAAUAGACAUUCAGAUUGGGAUAAGAUAGAGUCUCAAAGUAGUCUUAGUUUGAAUUUCUCUGAUAUGUAAGGAUGUCAAAACAGCUUUUAAAAUAUUGUUGGCCAAUUAUGCCUCAUCUUUUGAGAAUUAUUUGUUUGGUACAUUGACCCAUUUAUUAAUUGGCAUAUUUCAUUUCUUUCUUUCUUUUUUAUAUAUCAUAUUAUUAUAUAUUACGAUACAAUGUUGUUAUAUAGUAAUAUAUAUUUAUAUAUCUUAAAUAUUCAUUCUCUGUCUGAGUUUAGUGGGCAAGAAUUGUCUCCCAGUAGGCUACCUGUGUGCUUUGUUGAUAGCCUCAUUGCUCUGCAGAAGUUUUUAUCUUCACCUAAUCCCAUUUGUCAAUUCUUUUUUUUUCUUUUUUGAGUUAUAAUUCUUUUUAAAUUUAUUUUUAUUAGAUAUUUUCCUUAUUUACAUUUCAAGUGUUAUCCUCUUUCCUGAUUUCCCCUCUGAAAAUGCCCUAUCCCAUCCCCUCUCCCCCUGCUUCCGUGAGGGUAUUCCCACACCCAUCCUCACCACCCUGGUGUUCCCCUACAAUGGGGCAUUGAGCCUUCAAAGGACCAAGGGCCUCUCCUCUCAUUGAUGUCUGACAAGGCCAUCAGAGCCAUGUGUCCCUCCAUAUCCCGAGCUUUUGUUCCCACCGGAAAGAACACGCUCAGGACAACCGGAAUCUUCUGCGGCAAAAGCUUUAUUGCUUACUUCUUCAGGAGCAAGAGCGAAAAUGGCAAAACCCCGUCCCUUUUAAGGAGAAUUAUCCUCCACCUAGGACGUGUCACUCCCUGAUUGGCUGCAGCCCAUUGGCCGAGUUGUCCUCACGGGGAAGGCAGAGCACAUGGAGUGGAGAACUACCCUGGCACAUGCGCAGAUUAUUUGUUUACUACUUAGAACACAGGAUAUCAGCGCCAUCUUGUAAUGGCGAAUGUGAGGGCGGCUCCCCACACCUCCAUGUGUAUUCUUUGGUUGGUGGUUUAGUGCCUGGGAGAUCAGGGGUGUCUGGUUGGUUGAUAUUAUUGUUCCUCCUAUGGGACUACAAACCCCUUCAGUUCCUUCAGACCUUUAUCUAACUCUUCCAUUGGGGACCCGAUGGCUGUCAGCAUCUGCCUCUAUAAUUGUCAGGCUCUGGCAGUGUCUCUCGGGUGACAGCUGUAUCUUGCUCCUGUCAGCAAGCACUUCCUGGCAUCCACAAUAGUGCCUGGGUUUGGUAACUGUAUAUAGGAUGGAUCCCCAGGUGGGGCAGUCUCUGGCUGGCCUUUCAUUCAGUCUCUGUUCCACACUUUGUCUCUGUAUCUCCUCACGUGGGUUUUUGUUCUCCCUUCUAAGAAGGACUGAAGUAUCUACACUGUGGUCUUCCUUCUUCCUGAGCUUCAUGUGAUCUGUGAAUUGUAUCUUGGGUAUUCCAAGUUUUGGGACUAAUAUGUACUUAUCAGUGAGUGGGUACCAUGUGUGUUCUCUGUGACUGGGCUACCUUACUUAGGAUGAUAUCUUCUAGUUCCAUCCAUUUGCCUAAGAAUUUCAUAAAGUCAUUGUUUGUAAUAGCUGAGUAGUACUCCAUUGUGUAAAUGAACAUCAUUUCCUGUAUCCAUUACUCGGUUGAAGGACAUCUGGGUUCUUGGUUCCAACUUCUGGCUAUUAUAAAUAAGGCUGCUAUAAACAUAGUGUCUUUGUUAUAUGUUGGAGCAUCUUUUGGGUAUAUGCCCAGGGGUGUUAUAGCUGGGUCCUCACGCAGUACUGUGUCCAAUUUUCUGAGGAACCGCCAGACUGAUUUCCAGAGUAGUUUUACCAGUGUGCAAUCCCACCAACAAUGGAGGAGUGUCUUCUUUCUCCUUAUCCUUGCCAGCAUCUGCUGUCACCUGAGUUUUUGAUCUUAGCCAUUCUAAUUGGUUUCAGGUGGAAUCUCGGGGUUAUUUUAAUCUGCAUUUCCCUGGUGGCUCAGGAUGUUGAACAUUUCUUUAGGUGCUUCUCAGCCAUUCAGUAUUCCUCAGUUGAGAACUGUUUGUUUAGCUCUGUACUCCAUUUUUUUUAAAUAAUCUCCCAUGCUCAUAGAUUGACAGAAUUAAUAUAGUAAAAAUGGUCAUCUUGCUAAAAGCAAUCUAUAGAUUCAAUGCAAUUCCCAUCAAAAUUCCAACUCAAUUCUUCAUAGAGUUAGAAAGAGCAAUUUGCAAAUUCAUCUGGAAUCACAGACACACACAAAAAAAGCAAAACAGGAUGGCAAAAACUAUUCUCAACAAUAAAAGAACUUCUGGGGGAAUCACCAUUUCUGACCUCAAAGCUGUAUUAUAGAGCAAUGGUGAUUAAAAACUGCAUGGUAUUGGUACAGACACAGGCAGGUAGAUCAAUGGAACAGAAUUGAAGACCCAGAAAUGAACUCACACACUUGUGGUCACUUGAUCUUUGACAAAGGAGCUAAAGUCAUCCAGUGGGAGUGCGGGGUGAGGAAAGGCAGCUUUUUCAACAAAUGGUGCUGGUUCAAUUGUCAAUCAGCAUGUAGAAGAAUGCAAAUCUAUCCAUUCUUAUUUCCUUGUACAAAGCUCAAGUCCAAGUGGAUCAAGGACUUCCACAUAAAACCAGAGACAUGGAAACUAAUAGAAGAGAGAGUGGUAAGGACCUCGAGCACAUGGGCACAGGGGGAAAGGGAACGUUCCUGAACAGAACACCAAUGGCUAAUAGUCAGGUACAUGGUUAGAGCUAGCAACAGUCAUGCUUAAGUGGGCCAACCCAGACCCAGAAAGAUGCACAUUGCAUAUUUUCUCUUUUCUGUGGGUGUUAGACAUUAAGCUUCAGGUAUGUGUGUUUUUAUUUCUAAUGUUGCCAGAGGUUAAGCAGCCAGUAGGAGACUAGGUAAGAGGACAGGAUCUUCCAAAGUAGGAAAAAUAGAAUACACUGUUACAAAUGGGUGAAGAGAAAGGUAGAAUAAAUGCAUUAAAUGGAUAGUAUUUUUUAAAUAAAUCCCAAGCCAAAAUAAUCAUAUCCUCACAGAAGACAGCUGAAGAGCAUGUGGAACGUUAAAG
RNAcentral lists this long non-coding RNA (3874 nucleotides) under Mus musculus (house mouse). RNAcentral's name for it is "long non-coding RNA chr15:92360389-92364263". The record is from RNAcentral. Lineage: Eukaryota; Metazoa; Chordata; Mammalia; Rodentia; Muridae.